RNAcentral lists this long non-coding RNA (643 nucleotides) under Ficedula albicollis (Collared flycatcher). Its description in RNAcentral is "lncRNA (ENSFALG00000027948.1)". Lineage: Eukaryota; Metazoa; Chordata; Aves; Passeriformes; Muscicapidae. The record is from RNAcentral.
GGGGGGGGGGGGGGGGGGGGGGGGGGGGGGGGGGGGGGGGGGGGGGGGGGGGGGGGGGGGGGGGGGGGCGGGCUGCGCUGCGCUGGGCUGCGCUGGGCUGGGCUGGGCGCUGCCCGUAACGGAGCUGCAGGGGCUGUGCGGGAUGAGCUGGAGCGCAGCGGCGAUUUCACAGAAUCAGUGUUCAUGUCCAGGUGAUUUCAGCCUCCCAAAAAAAAGCUGUUCCAGGAGGAAGAGGAUGCUGAGCCAGGACAUGCAGGUGCAGUCAGGCAUUAACUGUCCAGGUUGGGCUGGUGGAAGCUGUCUCUGCCCAUGGCAGGAGUGGAAUGAAAGGGGAUUCAAGGUCCCUCCCAACCCAAACCAGUCCAGGAUUCUGGGAUUUUCUGGGAUUCUACAUCCACAAGUACAAACAAAUUCAGAUCUGUGCAGAGUGAAAGCCAAGACUGAGAACACCUGUUGGAUACAAGACUCACCUGAUAUUCCCAGCUGUUUGAGGUACUGGGAAUGUACCUGUGAGCUCUUUGGGAAUCCUUUAAGGAUGAGCGAAGAGAUAAGAGAUGGAGAAGUUUCUGGGCAGAAUUCUCCGAAUUUUAGUAAGAGAGUACAGGAUUUCUCCUCUGCAAAUAGGAAGACAAUACUGGAAUAG